UGCGCAGGCGGUUGUGCAAGACAGAUGUGAAAUCCCCGGGCUUAACCUGGGAAUUGCAUUUGUGACUGCACAGCUAGAGUGUGUCAGAGGGGGUAGAAUUCCACGUGUAGCAGUGAAAUGCGUAGAGAUGUGGAGGAAUACCGAUGGCGAAGGCAGCCCCCUCGGGAUAACACUGACGCUCAUGCACGAAAGCGUGGGGAGCAAACA
This 207-nucleotide ribosomal RNA is filed under the name uncultured Burkholderiales bacterium. RNAcentral describes it as "partial 16S ribosomal RNA". It matches the Rfam family "Bacterial small subunit ribosomal RNA", at positions 568 to 774 of the family's 1533-position model. Lineage: Bacteria; Pseudomonadati; Pseudomonadota; Betaproteobacteria; Burkholderiales. The record is from RNAcentral.